This 442-nucleotide small RNA is filed under the name Arabidopsis thaliana (thale cress). RNAcentral describes it as "ATSL106170". The record is from RNAcentral. Lineage: Eukaryota; Viridiplantae; Streptophyta; Magnoliopsida; Brassicales; Brassicaceae.
AGGUGACAAAACUGAAAACAGAAGAAAAAACUUACGUUUUAACAAGUGUUAUUAAAUGCUGGUUUUGGACUAAAAGAGGAUAUGGGUUUAAUGAAAAAACUUAAUUUUUAGGAAAAAAAAAAAGGUGGAAUUUGAGUAGAAUACAACAAAAAGUCUUAGAGUUUGAUUGGUAACACAAAACUUUAGCUGUUACGGAAUAAUGUAAAACUGUACAAAAGAGCUGUAAAAAAAAAUUGUAUCAAAAAGCUGAGAGUAAAGCUUUUCGUAACGCUUUUGAUAAAGUUUUUGUAAAUGGUAAUUGUCAAAGCUGUACAAACUGUACUGUUUUGAUAAUGGGUUACCAUUCAAAGCUUUAAAUUUUAAAUCGCAUGAUAACCUGUAAAUAAUUAUUUUGAAUAUAUGUUAGACUUUAUUAUUAUUGGUUAACUAUGUUCUCUUGAUU